AAUGAAUUGCCUGAAAAAGGAUUACCUUGAUAGGGUAAAUUAUAUAAAUUUUUUUAAUUUUAUAU
RNAcentral lists this transfer RNA (65 nucleotides) under Siphona sp. 1 HNL-2023a. Its description in RNAcentral is "tRNA-Ile". Lineage: Eukaryota; Metazoa; Arthropoda; Insecta; Diptera; Tachinidae. The record is from RNAcentral.